GGCUAGCUUGGUCAGCAGAUCAUGAGAUUCUUAAUCUCAGGGUUAUGGAUUCAAGUCCCAUGUUGGGUG
Molecule: transfer RNA, 69 nt
Filed under: Balearica regulorum gibbericeps (East African grey crowned-crane)
Lineage: Eukaryota; Metazoa; Chordata; Aves; Gruiformes; Gruidae
Description: Balearica pavonina gibbericeps tRNA
Rfam family: tRNA
About the family: Transfer RNA (tRNA) molecules are approximately 80 nucleotides in length. Their secondary structure includes four short double-helical elements and three loops (D, anti-codon, and T loops).
Source: Rfam by way of RNAcentral